CCAACGGCCCUCUUUAGGGCCACAAUUCCGAUAUUAAUCCUUCAAG
Non-coding RNA from Haemonchus placei, 46 nucleotides. The record is from Rfam. Lineage: Eukaryota; Metazoa; Nematoda; Chromadorea; Rhabditida; Trichostrongylidae.